RNAcentral lists this unclassified non-coding RNA (519 nucleotides) under uncultured Glomus. RNAcentral's name for it is "SSU rRNA". It matches the Rfam family "Eukaryotic small subunit ribosomal RNA", at positions 569 to 1093 of the family's 1831-position model. The record is from RNAcentral. Lineage: Eukaryota; Fungi; Glomeromycota; Glomeromycetes; Glomerales; Glomeraceae.
AGCAGCCGCGGUAAUUCCAGCUCCAAUAGCGUAUAUUAAAGUUGCUGCAGUUAAAAGCUCGUAGUUGAAUUUCGGGACUAAUAUGUCGGUCGUGCCUCGGUACGUACUGGUUUAUUGGUUUCUCCUUUCUGAAGAACCAUGAUGUCAUUUAUUUGGUGUCGUGGGGAAUCAGGACUGUUACUUUGAAAAAUUAGAGUGUUUAAAGCAGGCUCACGCUUGAAUACAUUAGCAUGGAAUAAUGAAAUAGGACGUUUGAUUCUAUUUUGUUGGUUUCUAGGAUCGACGUAAUGAUUAAUAGGGAUAGUUGGGGGCAUUAGUAUUCAAUUGUCAGAGGUGAAAUUCUUGGAUUUAUUGAAGACUAACUACUGCGAAAGCAUUUGCCAAGGAUGUUUUCAUUAAUCAAGAACGAAAGUUAGGGAUCGAAGACGAUCAGAUACCGUCGUAGUCUUAACCAUAAACUAUGCCGACUAGGGAUCGGAUGAUGUUUAAUUUUUUAAUGACUCAUUCGGCGCCUUAACC